Molecule: non-coding RNA, 285 nt
Organism: Podarcis muralis (Common wall lizard)
Lineage: Eukaryota; Metazoa; Chordata; Lepidosauria; Squamata; Lacertidae
Source: RefSeq, a predicted model, not a curated record
UGGCAGCAUCUCCUCAGGGUUUAAGAUAAGGGUAUUUCCCAGUUUUACUUGGAGAUGCUGCCAUACCCUUCCACCCAAAAUAUAGCAAGAGCCUGCAAAAAAGGUGACUUUCAAAGAGAGAGCCAUGAACCAACAGAACAGCAGGACUAAAGCAGAAGAAUGUGGCAAGCUUAGAAGCCACCUCCUCCAUCUGCUUCAGGAUGACCUCAAUGCGGUCCUGGUAUAUCUGGGCAUCGUUUUGCAGGGAUGCACAUUUCAGCUCCAGCAUCUCCUUCUCUCCCACAA